CGGAUUUAUUGGGUUUAAAGGGUGCGCAGGCGGGGAAUUAGGUCGGCGGUGAAAUUUCGGGGCUCAACCUCGACAGUGCCGUUGAAACCGUUUCUCUUGAGUGCGGAUGAGGUAGGCGGAAUUUGUGGUGUAGCGGUGAAAUGCGUAGAUAUCACAAGGAACACCGAUUGCGGAGGCAGCUUACUAAACCGUUACUGACGCUCAUGCACGAAGGCGUGGGGAUCAAACAGGAUUAGAUACCCUGGUAGUCCACGCAGUAAACGAUGAUUACUCGCUGUUUGCGAUACACAGUAAGCGGCGAAGCGAAAGCGUUAAGUAAUCCACCUGGGGAGUACGUUCGCAAGAAUGAAACUCAAAGGAAUUGACGGGGGCCCGCACAAGCGGAGGAACAUGUGGUUUAAUUCGAUGAUACGCGAGGAACCUUACC
This 427-nucleotide ribosomal RNA is filed under the name uncultured Bacteroidota bacterium. Its description in RNAcentral is "bacterial SSU rRNA". It matches the Rfam family "Bacterial small subunit ribosomal RNA", at positions 546 to 975 of the family's 1533-position model. The record is from RNAcentral. Lineage: Bacteria; Pseudomonadati; Bacteroidota.